Molecule: long non-coding RNA, 1396 nt
Organism: Rattus norvegicus (Norway rat)
Lineage: Eukaryota; Metazoa; Chordata; Mammalia; Rodentia; Muridae
Source: RefSeq, a predicted model, not a curated record
AGUUUGCUUUGGUCUCUGUGGCAGAAGGAAAUUUGAUAACAUGGCAAAAGAGACGAAAAGGCAAAUUUUCCUGACUGGAAGUGCGUGACAUCCUUCCUUUUUAAGUCACUAAUGAUAGAAACAGGAGAGAGAGAAGGCUUCCUUCACCACCAUCCUCGAGCUCCGAUGUGCCACCUUGUACAUGCGGCCCUUCAUUAACUCAAUCCAUACUGAUAAACCGACUCCACACUUCAUUUUCCAAAACCUGGCUGGGCUACAGUGAGAGGCAAGGAUCCUUUCACGACAGAGGGAACAGUGUCAGUGCCUUCCCUUCUGAACCUUCUUCGGAUGAAUAUUUUACACAGACCGUUCACGAUGCGCGGCUGCAGGGUAACCUGGGGUAUUCUGGGGUCAUAGUGCCCCGCGCGGCGCUCACAGAGAGACAACUUUCUGUUCCCUGAGUUCAUCCUGGGUGCUUGGUAAUGAGCCGCCUGUCUAGGUCAUCUCAUGAGCACAUACAGGGUAUCGUAAAGCAAUCGUACCUAACAGCACUUCACGCCAUCUCUAAUUUCUUUCCAUUUCUCGGCUCAUAGUGCCCGUUCACUUAGCGGUAACCCUGUCCCAGGUUAAGCGAGGGGGGCGAAGUAACAGCCGUGACCACGCCCCCUAAGCUCUGAACUAUCCCGUCUGCGUCCUGUCCCUUGGCCUUCACACUGCUCACCAGACAGCUGCUAAGCGUUAAAGCAUGACGUAAGUCUGAUCCUCGUGGUCUCACCAACGGCACUAAACUCUCUGAAAGGGGCUGGACAAAAAAAAAAAAAAAUACUUUAGGCUCUGCAGGCCUUGCGGUCUGCAAUGUGUACAACCGGCAAUUAUUAUUUGCGGCAACACAACUUGUGUCAUUAAAGACAAGAGCCAGUGCUGUGGAGAUGGCACUGAAGAUGCAUCCCGGCUCGUUCGUUUCCACCCCCAAGAAGAAGUUCACUGUAUAGAAGCGAAACCCAACCCGUUCCACAUACAAUACAAACAAAAAUUCCGGCGCGAGCGCGACGCGUGAUGAAGGGAAAAGUCUGCCUUCGCAGGACGGGGUUUUACACGGACUCAGAGAAGCCAUCGGCAAAGCUGUGAGCAGAAGACAGGAGACGAGCAUUGAGCUGAGCAACAAAAGGAUGCUUGGAGACAGCCCUGGGUGGGAUGGGGCCGCUUACAAUCCCACGUGGUGAAGCAGCCAUUGCUGGCUCCCCCGGAGACACUGUGGAGAGGGAAAUAAGGUGGAGCUAACACUAUUCACUGUUUCGUUGGUAGAUUUUAAGAGAGAAGCUGUUACAUUUUCCUUUUUUCAUGCAAGAAAGACAAAAUGACUAAAAUAAUAAACCAUGUACGGUGAGGGCUCAGCACCCACCCAGUAGCACUGCAA